GAUGAACGCUAGCUACAGGCUUAACACAUGCAAGUCGAGGGGUAACAAGAGAAAAGCUUGCUUUUCUUGUUGACGACCGGCGCACGGGUGAGUAACGCGUAUCCAACCUGCCUAUAACUAGGGAAUAACCUUGCGAAAGUAAGACUAAUACCCUAUGAUUUCCUUUGAUGACAUCAGAUUAGGAAUAAAGAUUUAUCGGUUAUAGAUGGGGAUGCGUCUGAUUAGCUUGUUGGCGGGGUAACGGCCCACCAAGGCAACGAUCAGUAGGGGUUCUGAGGGGAGGGUCCCCCACAUUGGACGUGGGACACGGUCCAAACUCCUACGGGAGGCAGCAGUGAGGAUUAUUGGUCAAUGGGCGGAACUCUAACCCAGCCAAGUAGCGUGCAGGAUGACGGCCCUAUGGGUUGUAAACUGUUUUUAUACAGAAAUAAAGUUAGCCACGUGUGGUUAUUUGUAGGUACUGUAUAAAAAAGGACCGGCUAAUUCCGUGCCAGCCGCCGCCGUAA
RNAcentral lists this ribosomal RNA (506 nucleotides) under uncultured bacterium. Its description in RNAcentral is "partial 16S ribosomal RNA". It matches the Rfam family "Bacterial small subunit ribosomal RNA", at positions 28 to 523 of the family's 1533-position model. The record is from RNAcentral.